Long non-coding RNA from Dermochelys coriacea (leatherback sea turtle), 2356 nucleotides. RefSeq lists it as uncharacterized. The record is from RefSeq and is a predicted model, not a curated record. The transcript is spliced from 3 exons. NCBI's taxonomy places the organism in Eukaryota, Metazoa, Chordata, Testudines, Dermochelyidae.
GGGAUCUUGAGGGACAGGGGGAUCUUGGGGUGCCCAUCUCCGAUUGAAAGUUAAUUGUCAUCCCAUGGGUGCAAGAAGGGGCAGAGUUAAGGAUGUCUGUGGUGGGGUUAAGGGUGCAGAGGAGCAGGUUAAGGACACCCAUGGAGGGACAGAGUUAAGGACACACAGAGGGUCACAGUUAAGGUUGUUGGCUGUCUCCCAGACUGGACAGGCCAUGUCGCUGUUCUGUACCCACAACCCUGUACCAGCCCCAUCUCCCUGUGUCUCUCCCCAGAGUGGGCACUGGAGGAGCCUCCCUUGCUGAGGCUGGUGUCUCUGCAAAAUACCGACGUUUCGUGGAACCUGGACCCCCGGCUGGCUGCUGUGCUGGGGGUGAGCGAGACCGACGCCAGGGGGAGGAUACCCACUGAGGACGUGACCUUCAGCAUCUGGGCCACAGUGCUGGCCGUGGUCCGGCUGCACAGCCGGGCCGUGGGGCAGCGCGAUGAGUCGAGCUGCUGGAGGCCAAGGCUGUGGGCUGGGUGUGGGACUGAGCAGGGGCCCGGCUGAGCGAGUGCCUGGAAGCCGCCAACGCAACUGCUGGGCUGCAGCGUUGGCCCUGCCAUCUUCAGGCUCUGAGCCCCCCCCGGGAUCCCUGCACUCGCUCCACAAACUGCCCUGGGUGUCCACCUGGGAGCCCGAGGGCCAGUAGGGGACACUGGGUGUAGACCCACCUGGCCGGCCUGUGCCCAGCCCAGAGCAAAGCCCCAGCUGGGAUCCCACCACUGCCACCAAUUCGGAUGCAUCUGCCUCCCGCUGGCUGAAGAGGAGCAAAGGCUGCCCCCCGGCUACACCCCACUCUGACCCACUGUUCAGUAACCCCCACGCUGCUUACAGCCACCGCCUCCUCUCCGCAUUGUGGGGGAGUCCUCAGCAUCACCUGCAUCAAUGUUGCACAUUUCUUCGCUUUUUACAAAUGACUGAGGGGUCCCUCUGUAAACAGCCCCCAGCCCCCCACCCCAGAGGUGGCUGCACUGACCUCACCCUGCAUGAGCCGUCCAGUGUCAACCUAGUCCCAUCAACACGGAGUUCAGCUAUAGGACAGCCAGGCAGACCAACAGGAUCUUUGCUUGUCCAAACACGACCUCAUUUUGUCGUAAUGGCAGUUUUCUCUUCGCUAGACAAUCCUGAACGCAAAGACGAGCACAGUGAUUCGCUUCAUUCUUCGUUUCCUCUCUGCCUAGGUCCAGACUAGAGCUGGUCAGACAUUUUCCAGCUGAACAGUGCUGUGUUGGCAAAUGCAAUUCCAUGGUGAAGGCUGAAAGGUGGAAUCAGGCAGCAGAUGGAGGAAGUUUGCCCCGUGCAGCGUGUUGUGAAUCCGUCCCCAUUCACCACCUGCUGAAUUCUCUACCACAGGAAGAAAUGCUUAAAAACCUGACCGUCCAUCUUGACGGUUAAUGCUCACAUUGUGUCCAUCCUGGGUAGCACCGGGCCCUUCUCAGGACAUCCUGGGACUCAAGCAAACGAUGAAAGACAUCAGCUGGUUAAUUCCCGGGAAAGAAAGUGCUAUUUUUAUCAAGAAACUGCAGAAACAUAAUGAAGAAGCAGACAGUUUUCCCACUUCAUGUUAACCAGCACUGACCCCCCUUUGAACAGCUUUCGCCAUAUGACUCUGUGCUGGGUCGUGUCCCUAUUUCAGCCUUUCUGUGUCUGAGAAGGCAACUCAACAAAUUCAAUUUACUGCCACAUUGUGCAGCGACUCCAGGGAAGGAUUAAGAUACCAGGUAAUUGAUUAAUUGCCUUAAGCCCUGAAGGAAUGCUGUCCUGGGACUGAGAUUUCCCCAAAGGCCAGACGGAAUUCCAAGAUCUUAAUUCUCACUUCCUGCUAUGAAUAGUGGAACUUCAAUACCAGCAAUGACAUCUUGGCCCCAUUGAAAUCAAAGGGCGUUUUAUCUUCGACUUCAACGGGCACAGUAUUUUAGCCCAUAUUACUAGGCUUUUGCAAAUUAAACUCUGUGGCUGGGAUUUUGGAAGAAGUGGCUGAGGCACCCAGUUCCAGGGGAUUUGUCCUCUUUAAAAAUCCCAACCUAUUAUUCUGUACCAAACCCAAUGAAGUCAAAGGAAAGGCUCUUUCAGAGAGAGCUGGGGAACCAGCUCCCUUUGAAAACUCCAGCCAGAGUGAGUCUUUCCAGUGGUCUUUAGAUUAAACUCCAUUGGUAGAAGCUGAUUGCCUAGUUCCCUUCGGCGCCUUUGGAUAUCCCAGCUUCCAGCUGACUCCAGUGGACUUUGAAGCAGUCCCAGUCUGUAUACCUGAGCCUUUAGAUAGAUAGAAAAUCCACACACAGAAUAACAAAAUAAAAUCAUACGACCGUCUGUA